RNAcentral lists this ribosomal RNA (253 nucleotides) under uncultured bacterium. RNAcentral's name for it is "partial 16S ribosomal RNA". It matches the Rfam family "Archaeal small subunit ribosomal RNA", at positions 474 to 727 of the family's 1478-position model. The record is from RNAcentral.
UACCAGCCCCCCGAGUGGUCGGGACGUUUAUUGGGCCUAAAGCCUCCGUAGCCGGUUCUACAAGUCUUCCGUUAAAUCCACCUGCUUAACAGAUGGGCUGCGGAAGAUACUAUGGAGCUAGGAGGCGGGAGAGGCAAGCGGUACUCGAUGGGUAGGGGUAAAAUCCGUUGAUCCAUUGAAGACCACCAGUGGCGAAGGCGGCUUGCCAGAACGCGCUCGACGGUGAGGGAUGAAAGCGUGGGGAGCAAACAGG